This 1093-nucleotide long non-coding RNA is filed under the name Phascolarctos cinereus (koala). RNAcentral describes it as "lncRNA (ENSPCIG00000037050.1)". The record is from RNAcentral. Lineage: Eukaryota; Metazoa; Chordata; Mammalia; Diprotodontia; Phascolarctidae.
AUUUUCUUGGCUGUUGUUGUUUUUGUUCUAAGACAUCUCUCUAGGGACUCUCCGGCCAUUGUCAAUCCCCUCGGGAGGAAAGGGGGAGGGGUGUGUGCCCGCCUUGUGCUGCACGACCUUGUGAGGGAUGCCACUUGGGAGGGGAGGCCACCAAAGAAAAGGCUACAACAUCUGGGUUAUGAAGAAAGGGGAGCAACUCAAUUCAAUUCAACUGAACAUAAACACAUUCAUUGCGGUCUACAACGUGCCAGGCACUGGAGAUACAAUAACAAAAACAAAUUCCUGCUUUUAAGGAGCUUGCAAGAUUCUGUGAUUCUUGGACAUUUUCAUUUGGAAGUGUUCCUUAGCUGUCAUCUAGUCUAGCCCAUAUACCGAAAAGGAUCCCUGGGACACUCUAAUGGACAAGUGGAAAUCUAGCCUCUGCUUGAGGACCUCUGGGAAAGGCAAACGUGCUGCCUCCCAAAGUGGCCCAUUCCCCUUAUGGACGACUGUGAUGAUUGGGAAGGUUUUCCUGACGGUGAUGCCUAAAUUUGCCUCUUUGUAACUUUCCCUCGUGGCUCCUAGUUUUGCUGUUUGAGGGAAAAUGAACAAGUCCAAUUCCUCUUCCAUAUGAAAACCCUCCAAGUACUCAAUGGUAGUUGUCAUGUCACCCCCAAGUGUUCUCUUCUCCAGGCUGAACAUUCCUAGUUCUUCAAAUCAGUCUUCACAUGGAUUCGAGGCCCUUCAUCACCCUGGUUUUCUCCUCUGGAUAGCCUCUAGUUUAUAAAUACUUUUCCUAAACCGUGAACACAGAACUGAACACAAAUACUCUGGAUGUAAUCUGAGCAGGCCAGAGUUUCCUUCGAGGCUUGGUUCAAGUACCACUUUCUACAUGAAGCUUUUCCUCAUCUUACCUCUCCUUGUCUGUUAAUGACUUCUUCCUUUCUUUCUCCUUCCCAAAACUACCCUGGAUUUAUUUUGUAUAUAAUUAUACAUGAUAUAAUAUAUACAACACAUAUAUUAUAUGUGAUAUAAUAUAGACAUAAUGUAAUCAUAUACAACACACAUAUAUACAUGAUUUAAUAUAUACAACACAUAUUAUAUGUGAUAUAAU